Molecule: ribosomal RNA, 434 nt
Filed under: uncultured Roseburia sp.
Lineage: Bacteria; Bacillati; Bacillota; Clostridia; Lachnospirales; Lachnospiraceae
Description: partial 16S ribosomal RNA
Rfam family: Bacterial small subunit ribosomal RNA
Source: RNAcentral
ACGGGAGGCAGCAGUGGGGAAUAUUGCACAAUGGGGGAAACCCUGAUGCAGCAACGCCGCGUGAGUGAAGAAGUAUUUCGGUAUGUAAAGCUCUAUCAGCAGGGAAGAAAAUGACGGUACCUGACUAAGAAGCACCGGCUAAAUACGUGCCAGCAGCCGCGGUAAUACGUAUGGUGCAAGCGUUAUCCGGAUUUACUGGGUGUAAAGGGAGCGCAGGCGGUUUAGCAAGUCUGAUGUGAAAUCCCGGGGCUCAACCCCGGAACUGCAUUGGAAACUGUUGAACUAGAGUGCCGGAGAGGUAAGUGGAAUUCCUAGUGUAGCGGUGAAAUGCGUAGAUAUUAGGAGGAACACCAGUGGCGAAGGCGGCUUACUGGACGGUAACUGACGCUGAGGCUCGAAAGCGUGGGGAGCAAACAGGAUUAGAUACCCUGGUA